This 548-nucleotide ribosomal RNA is filed under the name Mantoniella squamata. RNAcentral's name for it is "partial 18S ribosomal RNA". It matches the Rfam family "Eukaryotic small subunit ribosomal RNA", at positions 604 to 1162 of the family's 1831-position model. RNAcentral also lists the same sequence under 1 other name. The record is from RNAcentral. Lineage: Eukaryota; Viridiplantae; Chlorophyta; Mamiellophyceae; Mamiellales; Mamiellaceae.
UUUAAGUUGUUGCAGUUAAAAAGCUCGUAGUUGGAUUUCGGUUGAGAGCGGCCGGUCCGCCGUUUGGUGUGCACUGGCUGGUCUCAACUUCCUGCGGAGGACGCGCUCUGGGCUUAACGGUCUGGACGUGGAGUCCGCGUGGUUACUUUGAAAAAAUUGGAGUGUUCAAAGCGGGCUUACGCUUGAAUAUUUCAGCAUGGAAUAACACUAUAGGACUCCUGUCCUAUUUCGUUGGUCUCGGGACGGGAGUAAUGAUUAAGAGGAACAGUUGGGGGCAUUCGUAUUUCAUUGUCAGAGGUGAAAUUCUUGGAUUUAUGAAAGACGAACUUCUGCGAAAGCAUUUGCCAAGGAUGUUUUCAUUAAUCAAGAACGAAAGUUGGGGGCUCGAAGAUGAUUAGAUACCAUCCUAGUCUCAACCAUAAACGAUGCCGACUAGGGAUUGGCGGAUGUUAAUUGAUGACUCCGCCAGCACCUUAUGAGAAAUCAAAGUUUUUGGGUUCCGGGGGGAGUAUGGUCGCAAGGCUGAAACUUAAAGGAAUUGACGGAAG